GACCCGCUCUCCAAUUGGUCCAGACAUAAGUACAUACACAAUUCCUUACAGUUGCUUCCUAGAACCAAUGACACGCCAACCUGGAAGCUAAUUCUAUCCAAAAUUGAGCUCCUCAUUCAGACAAUCAAGGUUUCCUUGGGCCUCUUUUGGAAAGACAAUUGGGCACAGGAAAGAUUAGAACAAACUUACCCAACCCUCUUCUCCUUUGCCCUGGAAAAGGACUGCACAGUAGCCUCGCAAUUCCAGCACAAUACUUGGGAUCUACAAUUGCACCCCAACUUGUCUUCUCAAGCAGCUACAGAACUACAACUCCAACCCAAUCCGGAUGCUGUCGACACAAGGCAGUUCCUGCACCCAGCGCCAAAAAUCUCAACAGCAAAUGCAUACCACAUUUUGACGAAUCAUGGGCUACUUUGGAAACCGGCUGAAUUCAUCUGGAUCUCAGCUAUCCCUCAAAACUGUCAAACAAUUACAGCAUUCCUAGAGGAUAUAAUCAAGAACAACAUGGCACUACGAGGCAUUGAACCAAUCUGGUUCGCGGCCUGCCCACAGACCCUAUGGAAAGCACGCAACGCCAGGAUCUUUGAUGGGUAG
This 594-nucleotide long non-coding RNA is filed under the name Oryza sativa Indica Group (long-grained rice). RNAcentral's name for it is "lncRNA OsPr106_02g0036890". Lineage: Eukaryota; Viridiplantae; Streptophyta; Magnoliopsida; Poales; Poaceae. The record is from RNAcentral.